GGGAUAUAAUUUCUAAUUAGUGGGGUAAUAGCUGCUUGAUCCAAGGAGACAUCUGACUGCUAUUUUGGGGUCAAGAAGGAAAUUUUUCCUAGUUUGUGGCAAAAUUGGAAGCGCUUCAGACUAGAUUUUUUGCCUUCUUUUGGAUCAACAGCAACAACAUAUGUGAGGAAGGCUGAACUUGAUGGACGCAAGUUUCUUUUCAGCUAUGUAACUAUGUAACUAUGUUAUGAGUCAAAUUACACAGCGUGGGGAAAUUCCAAAGAACUUUCCCACGCUGUGUAAAAUGACACAGAGCACUCUGAUUGGCGGAUUUCAAACCAACCAAUCAGAGUGCUGUGACAGGUAAAUGUAGAGACUUACCUGUCAG
Pelobates cultripes (western spadefoot toad) is the source of this 367-nucleotide non-coding RNA. The record is from the annotation of a GenBank genome assembly. Lineage: Eukaryota; Metazoa; Chordata; Amphibia; Anura; Pelobatidae.